Molecule: ribosomal RNA, 657 nt
Filed under: Pseudomonas fluorescens
Lineage: Bacteria; Pseudomonadati; Pseudomonadota; Gammaproteobacteria; Pseudomonadales; Pseudomonadaceae
Description: bacterial SSU rRNA
Rfam family: Bacterial small subunit ribosomal RNA
Source: RNAcentral
GCGGUAACAGGAGAAGCUUGCUUCUCGCUGACGAGCGGCGGACGGGUGAGUAAUGUAUGGGGAUCUGCCCGAUAGAGGGGGAUAACUACUGGAAACGGUAGCUAAUACCGCAUAAUCUCUUAGGAGCAAAGCAGGGGAACUUCGGUCCUUGCGCUAUCGGAUGAACCCAUAUGGGAUUAGCUAGUUGGUGAGGUAAUGGCUCACCAAGGCGACGAUCCCUAGCUGGUCUGAGAGGAUGAUCAGCCACACUGGGACUGAGACACGGCCCAGACUCCAACGGGAGGCAGCAGUGGGGAAUAUUGCACAAUGGGCGCAAGCCUGAUGCAGCCAUGCCGCGUGUAUGAAGAAGGCCCUAGGGUUGUAAAGUACUUUCAGUCGGGAGGAAGGCGUUGAUGCUAAUAUCAUCAACGAUUGACGUUACCGACAGAAGAAGCACCGGCUAACUCCGUGCCAGCAGCCGCGGUAAUACGGAGGGUGCAAGCGUUAAUCGGAAUUACUGGGCGUAAAGCGCACGCAGGCGGUUGAUUAAGUUAGAUGUGAAAUCCCCGGGCUUAACCUGGGAAUGGCAUCUAAGACUGGUCAGCUAGAGUCUUGUAGAGGGGGGUAGAAUUCCAUGUGUAGCGGUGAAAUGCGUAGAGAUGUGGAGGAAUACCGGUG